This 439-nucleotide ribosomal RNA is filed under the name Nocardia otitidiscaviarum. RNAcentral describes it as "bacterial SSU rRNA". It matches the Rfam family "Bacterial small subunit ribosomal RNA", at positions 67 to 524 of the family's 1533-position model. The record is from RNAcentral. Lineage: Bacteria; Bacillati; Actinomycetota; Actinomycetes; Mycobacteriales; Nocardiaceae.
CGGUAGGCCCUUCGGGGUACACGAGCGGCGAACGGGUGAGUAACAUGUGGGUGAUCUGCCUCGCACUCUGGGAUAAGCCUGGGAAACUGGGUCUAAUACCGGAUAUGACCACGAAUCGCAUGGUUUGUGGUGGAAAGGUUUACUGGUGCGAGAUGGGCCCGCGGCCUAUCAGCUUGUUGGUGGGGUAACGGCCUACCAAGGCGACGACGGGUAGCCGGCCUGAGAGGGCGACCGGCCACACUGGGACUGAGACACGGCCCAGACUCCUACGGGAGGCAGCAGUGGGGAAUAUUGCACAAUGGGCGAAAGCCUGAUGCAGCGACGCCGCGUGAGGGAUGACGGCCUUCGGGUUGUAAACCUCUUUCGACAGGGACGAAGCGCAAGUGACGGUACCUGUAGAAGAAGCACCGGCCAACUACGUGCCAGCAGCCGCGGUAAA